CAGUGAUGCUGGUGGCGAUACGAUACAACGACCUACGGUACACACCCAGUCGGAUGAACUCUACCCAUUACUGUGAUGGACGUGGAGUAUACUUUUUUUGUUAAUAAAUAACACCUUUUGGAAGUGUAUAAUGCGUCCACUCUCACUGAUUGCUUUUAACUCAUUGCAUGGCUUAUGGUAUGUGGAAAAUAGUUGCACAGUUGGAAUCAGGCUUUUAGCUAGGAUUUUUUGUACAGCACUUGAUCGUUUUUAGGUAAUAUUACAAUUACACUCAUUUAUUUAUAUGUUUAGUAAUUUAAUACAUAAUAACAGUGAGUGUAACUGAAACUAGGUAACAAGGUACAAAAUUCAAGUAACAACUUUAACAAAAAGAAACAACUUUCUACACAACUUUAAAGUGUAUGAUGUAUAUUGUAUUGUAUUGAAUUUAGAUUAAUUAAGACCACCACCUUAACACACAAACUCUUGUUGAACUCAUAAAGUAGUAGGUUCAGAGACGUGCGGUGAGACAGCUGUCUUCUGUAGCUUCUGCGAGCCCGUGAAUCAAUGUUUCGUUGGAAUCAUGAUGUAACGUUGUUGUAGCGGGAAUA
This is a long non-coding RNA of Gadus macrocephalus (Pacific cod), 590 nucleotides long. RefSeq lists it as uncharacterized. NCBI's taxonomy places the organism in Eukaryota, Metazoa, Chordata, Actinopteri, Gadiformes, Gadidae. The transcript has 2 exons. The record is from RefSeq and is a predicted model, not a curated record.